CUAGAGGGACGGGCAUCGAACCCGUAUUUAAGAAAUCAAAAUCCUUCGUACUCCAUUUACUACCCCU
RNAcentral lists this transfer RNA (67 nucleotides) under Pristimantis atratus. RNAcentral's name for it is "tRNA-Gln". Lineage: Eukaryota; Metazoa; Chordata; Amphibia; Anura; Strabomantidae. The record is from RNAcentral.